AUGAACGCUGGCGGCGCGCCUAAUACAUGCAAGUCGAGCGAGAAGACGUAGCAAUACGUUUGUAAAGCGGCGAACGGGUGAGGAAUACAUGGGUAACCUACCCUCGAGUGGGGAAUAACUAGCCGAAAGGUUAGCUAAUACCGCGUACGCUUCUUGGACUUCGGUUCAGGGAGGAAAGCGAUACCGUGGGUAUCGCGCUCUUGGAUGGGCUCAUGUCCUAUCAGCUUGUUGGGAGGUAACGGCUCACCAAGGCUUCGACGGGUAGCUGGUCUGAGAGGACGAUCAGCCACACUGGCACUGCGACACGGGCCAGACUCCUACGGGAGGCAGCAGUAAGGAAUAUUGCGCAAUGGGCGAAAGCCUGACGCAGCGACGCCGCGUGGGGGAUGAAGGUCUUCGGAUUGUAAACCCC
This 412-nucleotide ribosomal RNA is filed under the name uncultured bacterium. RNAcentral describes it as "bacterial SSU rRNA". It matches the Rfam family "Bacterial small subunit ribosomal RNA", at positions 29 to 433 of the family's 1533-position model. The record is from RNAcentral.